Molecule: transfer RNA, 76 nt
Filed under: Corynebacterium sp.
Lineage: Bacteria; Bacillati; Actinomycetota; Actinomycetes; Mycobacteriales; Corynebacteriaceae
Also listed under: 7 other names
Description: tRNA-Glu
Rfam family: tRNA
About the family: Transfer RNA (tRNA) molecules are approximately 80 nucleotides in length. Their secondary structure includes four short double-helical elements and three loops (D, anti-codon, and T loops).
Source: RNAcentral
GCCCCGUUCGUCUAGAGGCCUAGGACGCCGGCCUCUCACGCCGGUAACACGGGUUCGAAUCCCGUACGGGGUACCA